RNAcentral lists this ribosomal RNA (163 nucleotides) under Psittacanthus schiedeanus. RNAcentral describes it as "5.8S ribosomal RNA". It matches the Rfam family "5.8S ribosomal RNA". From Rfam's summary of the family: 5.8S ribosomal RNA (5.8S rRNA) is a component of the large subunit of the eukaryotic ribosome. It is transcribed by RNA polymerase I as part of the 45S precursor that also contains 18S and 28S rRNA. The record is from RNAcentral. Lineage: Eukaryota; Viridiplantae; Streptophyta; Magnoliopsida; Santalales; Loranthaceae.
AUAACGACUCUCGGCAACGGAUAUCUCGGCUCUCGCAUCGAUGAAGAACGCAACGAAAUGCGAUACCUGGUGUGAAUUGCAGAAUCCCGUGAAUCAUCGAGUCUUUGAACGCAAGUUGCGCCCGAGGCCAUUUGGUCUAGGGCACGCCUGCCUGGGUGUCACA